This is a non-coding RNA of Thalictrum thalictroides, 307 nucleotides long. The record is from the annotation of a GenBank genome assembly. Lineage: Eukaryota; Viridiplantae; Streptophyta; Magnoliopsida; Ranunculales; Ranunculaceae.
GUCGAGCUAUGUAACGUGAGCUUGUAACUUGAGUGAGGGCAAUAAGGUGAUUGAACUUGGGCUUGGCCUAAUCUGGUAUGGGCUUGUGUUGCACAUACUGACUCGCCCGCUCCAAGUUGGGAGUUGGGCUAUGUGGAACGGGCGAAGGCCUCUGUGCCACUUGGUUCCUAGAGUGGAGGACACCCCGUCAGGCUGGUUUCACAGAGCAAGCGAAAACCUCCCUCUCGACAGUGGAAGGAUAACAAGACAGGUGCUCCAUGAGUCCACAAUGGGCCAGAUGGGCCCAGCCCAAAGAACAAUCACUUUU